UGAGCCGACUGGGUGAUCGCGGUGCCUAGCAUCGAGGAAGGUCGGGGCUCCAAAGAGCAGAAUGCUGGCUAACAGCCAGUCAGGGUGACCUGAAGGAAAGUGCCACAGAAAAUAGACCGCCGAUGAUUCUAUAUAGAAAACAGGCAAGGAUGAAACGGUGCGGUAAGAGCGCACCAGCGAUCAAGGUGACUUGUUCGGCUAGGUAAACCCCAUUCGGAGCAAGGUCAAGAAGGGAGAGGGCGGCUCGUCCGAAGAGACUCCCAGGUGGACUGCAUAGAUGGAUGAUCACACAACCGGAUCUGUAAAGAUCUGGUGGACAGAACCCCGCCUACAGGUCGGCUCACCAU
Molecule: RNase P RNA, 347 nt
Filed under: marine actinobacterium MedAcidi-G1
Lineage: Bacteria; Bacillati; Actinomycetota; Actinomycetes
Also listed under: 3 other names
Description: bacterial RNase P
Rfam family: Bacterial RNase P class A
About the family: Ribonuclease P (RNase P) is a ubiquitous endoribonuclease, found in archaea, bacteria and eukarya as well as chloroplasts and mitochondria. Its best characterised activity is the generation of mature 5'-ends of tRNAs by cleaving the 5'-leader elements of precursor-tRNAs. Cellular RNase Ps are ribonucleoproteins.
Source: RNAcentral